Long non-coding RNA from Paralichthys olivaceus (Japanese flounder), 1253 nucleotides. RefSeq lists it as uncharacterized. Lineage: Eukaryota; Metazoa; Chordata; Actinopteri; Pleuronectiformes; Paralichthyidae. The record is from RefSeq and is a predicted model, not a curated record.
ACCCCCACUGUCUGUAUUUCAAGCUUUAGCAGAUUUUACUGUAGAAUUUCUGAGAAGUGGGACUGGAGGGUUGGUGCAGGGAAAACAACCUCUGUAUCAACGUAAAAAAAGACGAAGGAGAUUAUUGUGGACUUCAGGACGGGCAGACAUCCCUCCCUGCCUCCCCUGCACAUUGGAGGAACAGCAGUGGACAUGGUCUCCAGCUUCAGGUACCUGGGCGUGUAUAAUAGGAUAGAAAAGCUAUACAUUGAGUUUUAAUUGUAAACAGACACCCCCCUAAUUUUUUGAAAAGCAACUGAGCUAUCCUAGCAGUUUUAAUAGUAAAGUCUUACUCCACGUCAGUAGGUGGUGCUGUUUGUACUAUACUGUGGAUUCACACGGGAUACGUGAUGAAAAGCUUGGCGCAUGCGCAGCUCACAAAUUAGUUCAGCCUGAGCAAGAUGCUAAGAUCUGGUCACCUCCCUUCUUCAAAUCUACAGUGCUCCCUUGCCUGGGUAACCCUUGCUGCUGGUCCAGAUUUCUCCUAGGUCUGGCGCCGGUAACACGUGCACCUAAUGGAUGACCUCACCUGGAGCAACAACACUUCCAGCCUAGUCAGGAAGGCACACCAGCACCUCUACUUCCUCAAAAGGCCGAGGCGCGCUGGACUGGGGAGGUCAUUCCUCAACACCUUCGACAGAUAUGUGGUGGAAAGCAUCCUGUGCUCCUGCAUCACCGUGUGGCACGGCAGCUGCUCUGCACAGAGUACUGUGGGCAGCAUCCUUCCCACCACCACAGUCAUCUACACUUCUAGAUGCAGGAAAAGGGCCUCCUGCAUCAUGAAAGUCCCCACCCACCCCGCACACACACUGUUUGCCCCCGCACUAUCUCAAGACUCUACCUCAAAACUCACGUCACUUUAAAUUGCAUGCUUCCCAUGUCUUUUAAAUCAUCAUGCCUCACUCAUGUCACCCAACCCUUAAUUAUAGUUUUGUAGUUUAGAUUAGUCUUGUUGGUUUAUUGUAAAGUUUUUUUAGUCACAUCCAAGCACUUUAUCCGUGAUUUUAACUUGUAUAUAUGUUCGGACUUACCAGGAUGUGACAUUGCAAUUUCGUUUCCACUGUAUGUUGUACAUGUGAUGGUUAUGACAAUAACCCUUGAAUCCUUGAAGUCUGUUACUAUUUUAGGAAAAUGAAAGGGAAAAUAAGCAAAAUUUUCAUGAUAGUGUUCAUAACUUGCUCCUAUGAAAUAUUAUUUAAAAAUAAUCCUUAAGA